RNAcentral lists this ribosomal RNA (254 nucleotides) under uncultured prokaryote. Its description in RNAcentral is "partial 16S ribosomal RNA". It matches the Rfam family "Bacterial small subunit ribosomal RNA", at positions 524 to 777 of the family's 1533-position model. The record is from RNAcentral.
UACGGAGGAUCCGAGCGUUAUCCGGAUUUAUUGGGUUUAAAGGGUGCGCAGGCGGGGGAUUAAGUCGGCGGUGAAAUUUUGCAGCUCAACUGUAACAGUGCCGUUGAUACUGCAUGGUUAGGAUUUGGUUGCUGUGGGCGGAAUGUGUGGUGUAGCGGUGAAAUGCUUAGAUAUCACACAGAAUAUCAAUUGCGAAGGCAGCUCACAAAGCCAAGAUUGACGCUGAGGCACGAAAGUGUGGGGAUCAAACAGGA